RNAcentral lists this ribosomal RNA (510 nucleotides) under uncultured bacterium. Its description in RNAcentral is "partial 16S ribosomal RNA". It matches the Rfam family "Bacterial small subunit ribosomal RNA", at positions 28 to 507 of the family's 1533-position model. The record is from RNAcentral.
GACGAACGCUGGCGGCGUGCUUAACACAUGCAAGUCGAACGAAGAGCGAUGGAAGCUUGCUUCUAUCAAUCUUAGUGGCGAACGGGUGAGUAACGCGUAAUCAACCUGCCCUUCAGAGGGGGACAACAGUUGGAAACGACUGCUAAUACCGCAUACGAUCUAACCUCGGCAUCGAGGAUAGAUGAAAGGUGGCCUCUACAUGUAAGCUAUCACUGAAGGAGGGGAUUGCGUCUGAUUAGCUAGUUGGAGGGGUAACGGCCCACCAAGGCGAUGAUCAGUAGCCGGUCUGAGAGGAUGAACGGCCACAUUGGGACUGAGACACGGCCCUGACUCCUACGGGAGGCAGCAGUGGGGAAUCUUCCGCAAUGGACGAAAGUCUGACGGAGCAACGCCGCGUGAGUGAUGACGGCCUUCGGGUUGUAAAGCUCUGUUAAUCGGGACGAAAGGCCUUCUUGCGAAUAGUUAGAAGGAUUGACGGUACCGGAAUAGAAAGCCACGGCUAACUACGUG